Molecule: unclassified non-coding RNA, 236 nt
Filed under: fungal sp.
Lineage: Eukaryota; Fungi
Description: partial internal transcribed spacer region
Rfam family: Eukaryotic small subunit ribosomal RNA (bases 1-46)
Source: RNAcentral
AAGUCGUAACAAGGUUUCCGUAGGUGAACCUGCGGAAGGAUCAUCAAUGAUUCUUUUGAAAACUGUUCAGGCGAGUUUGAUUGCCAGAAGAACGUUUUCUUUUUUCUCAACAAAAAACGCCGACCAAGUGGGGAUUUCUUGGGAGACACUGGUCAGGCGAAAAAGACAAACUAUUGUCAAAACACACACUCAACUACACAAAAAACAACUUUCGGCAACGGAUCUCUCGGCUCACC